UGAACGCUGGCGGCGUGCCUAAUACAUGCAAGUCGAGCGAACAGACGAGGAGCUUGCUCCUCUGACGUUAGCGGCGGACGGGUGAGUAACACGUGGAUAACCUACCUAUAAGACUGGGAUAACUUCGGGAAACCGGAGCUAAUACCGGAUAAUAUAUUGAACCGCAUGGUUCAAUAGUGAAAGACGGUUUUGCUGUCACUUAUAGAUGGAUCCGCGCCGCAUUAGCUAGUUGGUAAGGUAACGGCUUACCAAGGCAACGAUGCGUAGCCGACCUGAGAGGGUGAUCGGCCACACUGGAACUGAGACACGGUCCAGACUCCUACGGGAGGCAGCAGUAGGGAAUCUUCCGCAAUGGGCGAAAGCCUGACGGAGCAACGCCGCGUGAGUGAUGAAGGUCUUCGGAUCGUAAAACUCUGUUAUUAGGGAAGAACAAAUGUGUAAGUAACUAUGCACGUCCUGACGGUACCUAAUCAGAAAGCCACGGCUAACUACGUG
Molecule: ribosomal RNA, 495 nt
Filed under: uncultured bacterium
Lineage: Bacteria
Description: partial 16S ribosomal RNA
Rfam family: Bacterial small subunit ribosomal RNA
Source: RNAcentral